Molecule: ribosomal RNA, 2767 nt
Filed under: Begonia fuchsioides
Lineage: Eukaryota; Viridiplantae; Streptophyta; Magnoliopsida; Cucurbitales; Begoniaceae
Description: eukaryotic LSU rRNA
Rfam family: Eukaryotic large subunit ribosomal RNA (bases 1560-2767)
Source: RNAcentral
UACAAGAUGGCCAGAGAAUGCCUUUUCAAAAUGACACAGACAAAUCCCGUGAUGUUCGGAGAGGUUGCGCGCGCCUGAAGAUGGUUCACCGAACCACCAGCAGGAAAUCCGAGAUUUUCAAUCAAAGGAGACCAAGUUCAGAUUGUCCAGAUUCAUGGAGGAGUGUCCGGCAACCGCAUUUCAAAAUGGCCCGCGCGGAUCCCUCAUUGUCCGAGAUAGGUCAACGCCCGGUCGGCAUUUUGAAGUUGCCGUGCACACCUCUGAGCCAUCGGCAGAAACGGAAAGGGCUGCGUCCGGAUUCGGCCAUGAAUCUUCUCACUCCAUCAGCCUAGGUUCAUCCAAAGGUUUGAAAUCAAGAUGGCCCGCGCAGAUCCCAUGAUGUCCGAGAUAAGGUCAACUUUGGUCGUGAUUUUGAACAAGCCGCACGCGCUCCCCAACCAUCGGCAACCAUCGAAGAUUUUCUUUCAAAUAUGGUCUGCGCGCGCAUGUAUCUGGACGUCAUGAAGCCAUCUGGGAGCUGUGUUUGAAUUUGGCCCGAGUAAAUCCCGAAGUGCAUGGAAGACGGUCAACCGGUCGACGAUUUGAACUAUGCACGCCUCUUCUCAAGUCAACUAAAGGUCUACCAAGAUCUUCAAUUCAAAAUGGCCCGAGUGAAUCCCCUGAUGUCCGGAGCAUUACCCACUCGGUCACCAUUUUGAACAAGCCCGCGUGCACUUACGAGCCAUUGUCGACCAAACGAGGAUCCAGACCACGUGACACCUAAGAUGAUCCACCGAGAGCAUUUUAGAGGCUCCAUAUCUAAUUUGGCCCGAGCCAAUCCUUCAAUGUUCGGAGCUAGCCCACACGGUGCACCCUCUCAGUCAACCACGAGUCUUCCUCGGUCAAGCUUCAAACUUAGCCGCACAAACCAUUAAUGGAUUGAGCUUUCAGCUGAAGAGGAGCGUCCUUGGUCUUCUGAAAGUCCACAUCUCCCGAGCCAAUCUUGAGCGUUCGUGUAAUCCAAGGGCCGAAAGACCUUCCCUCUCUUUUUAUUUUUUUGCAUUAAAUAAUGUAUCGGCCUUCACUUAGAGGGCAGAGAGAAAUUGAAUAAAAUUUGUGCUUAGCACCUUCUUCCUAACUGUUGAAGCUCUUUCCGACGUACCCUUCUCCAGUGAGUAACAUUCGGCCAAGUGCGUCACCCCUUGCACGUCCGAUCGGCGAGUCACAUCCGAGUGCGGGUAAGGUCUACCAAUCGAACACUUAGAUUGCUCAAGUGUUCGAAUUGUCCAGCCAUUCUAAAACCCAUACACUCUUGAAAAGAGUCCACCCACCCCACCGAGCUUUCACCCCUUUUUCUUCACUUAGCCAUUUUUCCAUCUUUUCGGCCACUUGAGCCAUCCCUCAUUUCUUUCAAGCCAUUUCCAUAAAUUCCCCUCCGAUCACCUACAUUUCCAUUCCAUUACACUUCUGCAACCCAAAUUCCCACUUUGCCCAAGUCCGAUUUUCCCGCGCGCUGCACUAAUCCUCACCUAAGCCCCGUGAGCGUGCAUAGUCCGACCCACGGUGCGCUGACCACCCCAGACGGCACAUUAGGCCGGGGGACAGACUGGAAACGGCUCCUUCGGGGGCCUUCCCCAGGCAUCGAACAGUUGACUCAGAACUGGUACAGACAAGGGGAAUCUGACUGUUUAAUUAAAACAAAGCAUUGCGAUGGUCCUUGCGGAUGCUCACGCAAUGUGAUUUCUACCCAGUGCUCUGAAUGUCAAAGUGAAGAAAUUCAACCAAGCGCGGGUAAAUGGCGGGAGUAACUAUGACUCUCUUAAGGUAGCAAAAUUCCUCGUCAUCUAAUUAGUGACGUGCAUGAAUGGAUUAACGAGAUUUCCAUUGUCCCUGUCUACUAUCAAGCGAAACCACAGCCAAGGGAACGAGCUUGGCAGAAUCAGCGGGGAAAGAAGACCCUGUUGAGCUUGACUCUAGUCCAACUCUGUGAAAUGACUUGAGAGUUGUAGGAUAAGUGGGAGCCAAAAAAUGGCGAAAGUGAAAUACCACUAAUUUUAACGUUAUUUUACUUAUUCCGUGAAUCGAAAGCUGGGCAACGCCCCUCUUUUUGGACCCAAGGCCUGCCUCAGCGGGUGGAUCUGGGCGGAAGACAUUGUCAGGUGGGGAGUUUGACUGGGGUGGUACAUUUGUUAAAAGAUAACGCAGGUGUCCUAAGAUGAGCUCAACGAGAACAAAAAUCUCGGGUGCAACAAAAGGGUAAAAGCUCGUUUGAUUCUGAUUUCAAGUACGAAUACGAAUCGUGAAAGUGUGGCCUAUCAAUCCUUUAGACCUUCAAAAUUUGAAGCUAGAGGUGUCAGAAAAGUUACCACAGGGAUAACUGGCUUGUGGCAGCCAAGCGUUCAUAGCGACGUUGCUUUUCGAUCCUUCGAUGUCGGCUCUUGCUAUCAUAGUGAAGCAGAAUUCACCAAGUGUUGGAUUGUUCACCCACCAAUAUGGCACGUGAGCUGGGUUUAGACCGUCGUGAGAUAGGUUAAUUUGACCCUUCUGAUGAUAGCAUCGCAAUAGUAAUUCAACCUAGUACGAGAGGAAUCGAUGAUUCGCACAAUUAGUCAUUGCGCUUGGUUGAAAAGCCAGUGGCACCUCUAAGUCAGAAUCUGGGCUAGAAACGACGCACGCGCCCGCCGUCGCAUCGAUUUCCAUUGUCCAGCGAGAUUUCCAUUGUCCCUGUCUACUAUCCAGCGAAACCAACAGUAAGGGCCCUCGGCCCCAAAGGGUACGCGUCGUUGGC